RNAcentral lists this ribosomal RNA (99 nucleotides) under Colobus angolensis palliatus. The record is from RNAcentral. Lineage: Eukaryota; Metazoa; Chordata; Mammalia; Primates; Cercopithecidae.
UUUAAUGGCCAUACCACCCUGAAAGGCGCCCGAUCUCUUUUGAUCUUAGAAGCUAAACAGGGUCAGCCCGGGGUUAGUACUGGCCGGGCGCGGUGGCUC